Molecule: long non-coding RNA, 614 nt
Organism: Aphis gossypii (cotton aphid)
Lineage: Eukaryota; Metazoa; Arthropoda; Insecta; Hemiptera; Aphididae
Exons: 4
Source: RefSeq, a predicted model, not a curated record
CCCACGGCUUACUAAAACGUCUACGACAGUACGACACAAGAUCAAAGUAAUAAUUCGUCUCGUUAGGAUUACGAUUUGGAAAUGUUGCCAAAACGACAACGGAAAACAUAGCAAAAUGGACUUCGGCGGGAAAACCAACGAGUUAUCGUCAAAUAAAAAUAAAGAAAAGCAUGGACGAUAAUAUGCCCUUAAACAUCAUGACACAAUGGGUGAAAUUGUAUAAGGCCAAGAGUUUCCUGAUGUGAAGAACAAGAACAAUCAUGUUGAUUCGGUUGAUAAUCACGUGAAAGAAGUAAAUCCACAUUCUGAAAGCUUGGGUGCUUAUCAAAUCGACAAGUAUGGAAACUGUGUGGAACGAAACCUUAAAUAUCAUCAUAGCUCCACUUAAUAUUUAACAACUCUUUCAUAUUAUUAUAUUAUUCACAAUUUACUUUACUAAUUCAUUAGCAAAUUGUAUACUUUUUUUUUCUAUAAGAUUCACAAUCUGUAGGAAAUAUUUAAAUGAACAUUUUAAUAUUUUAGCUAAAUAAAAAUUAUUAUUACACUAUAAUAAUCAUGCAUAUUUAUCUUAUUUAACAUACUUUUAACUGCAAAAACUUAUUUAUUAUUUAAUA